AGGGUCGAUGGCAAAGACAUUGCAAUUUGUAGGUUAGAACAGCUUUGCCCCUUCCCAUAUGACCUCGUCCAACGAGGACUGAGGCGUUAUCCAAGUAUGUUCUCAAUCACAGGAAAAUGGUUGCCCAUACAGUAAGGAAAUGGCUCGUCAAUCCUCUAUGUUUCAACUGGAUGGCUAUAAUUUUCUUUGGAGAACAAAUAGAAGUUGGUUUUCUCCAUCAUGCACUGAGAAGUGCUACAGGCUAUAGUAAAUCUAGGAAGAUCCAGAAAUGUAGCAUGCUUUCAGUAAUUGGAAUCCCCAAUAGAUUCAAAUGCGGGUGGGAAUUCUAAGGAGUACAAGGCUGAAAUCAUCUUUAUUAAACAUGUAAAGAUUUACCCUACAGGAAUUGCCAGGAAGAGCCGAUGAACACCGGUGCUUACAGUUACACUGCACCCCGUCUUUGCACAGCUAUGAAAGCGAUGGGCGGAGGAUCCUGGGAGGAUAUCAAAUACAUUGGCAGGGGUCCAUGCACGGUCUCCUUGGACUGCAUACUUGAUUAAUUUUCCAGCGAUAAUAAGCCGAACUUGAUUACCUGGUACCAAACAAGAGGCCCAUGAACAGACGGAGACGACACGUCAGAUACAAGCAACACAGGUGGUCAAAUACCGAUGGGCUGAUCUCAAGGCCUUUUCUUACGUGCUGGUGCUGCGUUAGAAGUCACGUGAGACGACACCAACCCCUUCAGAUCGCCUCAUGUAUAUCACACACUAAUGAAAUGACAUCUAUCUAGGAAGAUUUAUUUAUUUAUUGAAAUGAAAAGGCAGAUGGCACUACCACGUGAAAGGAAAAUGAUUCAUGACUUCAUUUUGGAUAUGGCAAACAACAAGUAAAGCUUUCCGUCUGUCACAGAGCUGUGUCCUCUUCGAAACUAAAAAUGAACAUUACUUGCCAAUAUCUGCAUGCAUGCACAUGGCACAAUAAUGUUUCGAGCUGUCUGGAAUACGUGUAUGAAGUUUGCUUGGAUUUGCAACAGUCCUGGAUUUUAUCAGCAUAUCAAUCAUAUUGUAGACUUGGAGUGGCUGGUUGCUAGCUAGCUAGCUCAUAAGGUAGACGUACAAGAAAGAUGUAUAUAUAUUCGGGAAAGAACUAUAUAUAUCAUUGGGGUGUUGACAUGCCUUGGAGGAAAUGCUACGUACUGCUUUAACUA
Molecule: long non-coding RNA, 1186 nt
Organism: Populus trichocarpa (black cottonwood)
Lineage: Eukaryota; Viridiplantae; Streptophyta; Magnoliopsida; Malpighiales; Salicaceae
Exons: 2
Source: RefSeq, a predicted model, not a curated record